UACGUAGGGUGCAAGCGUUAAUCGGAAUACUGGGCGUAAAGCGUGCGCAGGCGGUUCGCUAAGACCGAUGUGAAAUCCCCGGGCUAACCUGGGAACUGCAUUGGUGACUGGCGGGCUAGAGUAUGGCAGGAGGGGGGUAGAAUUCCACGUGUAGCAGUGAAAUGCGUAGAGAUGUGGAGGAAUACCGAUGGCGAAGGCAGCCCCUGGGCCAAUACUGACGCUCAUGCACGAAAGCGUGGGGAGCAAACAGG
This 251-nucleotide ribosomal RNA is filed under the name uncultured bacterium. Its description in RNAcentral is "partial 16S ribosomal RNA". It matches the Rfam family "Bacterial small subunit ribosomal RNA", at positions 524 to 776 of the family's 1533-position model. The record is from RNAcentral.